Gastrolobium bilobum is the source of this 998-nucleotide long non-coding RNA. RefSeq lists it as uncharacterized. The record is from RefSeq and is a predicted model, not a curated record. The transcript is spliced from 4 exons. NCBI's taxonomy places the organism in Eukaryota, Viridiplantae, Streptophyta, Magnoliopsida, Fabales, Fabaceae.
CAAGUCCGCCACCUGCACAAGCAUAGGACACUUGGACUCUCUCUUCUUAUUUUCGGCCCAGCCUUUCUCCUAACCAAGGAAUUAUUUCUUCAUACAUUGAAACUGGUCAGCUUUCCUUUAUGCUUUAAUCACACAUAUAAUUGGUGCUGUUCUCAUCCUCUCUAGGCCGUAGGUACUUAGAACAGAACACAAACAAGAUUUGUAUCCUUCCCUUUUCUCCAUUAAACAGUGAACCACUAAGGCUAGAGCCCUCACCCCAAAUUUCUAUCUUAUUCUCUCAUUCUUACCAGGCCGUGUAAGUAGGAGCAAGGAGGUGAGGCACCUUCAAUACUCUCCUGCUUCCUCUCUUCGUUUCGGCUGCACACCAACAAACAAAAGUGCCGUGGAAGGACUUCCCUUUCCUCUUGCAUGCAACUGGAUUCAAGCUCUUGGAGCUUAGGAAAAAGUAAGGGUCUGCUUCUUGAUAGUUUGGGACCACUCGAUGUAUAGACAAAAGGCAUACCUCGGUACCAGGGAAGGGGACACUUGGCUUCAGUCCGCAUAGGUCCGCAGUUGGAAUUCACCUUUAUGGGAGCCAUUAUGGAAUAUCCACUGUGAUGGUGCGCGCACGAUGGUGCUAUGAGCGCAAUGAAAGGCGUUAUAUACGCAUUAUGAUGAAUAUGGCAUUAUAUACGCACUAUGAAAUGUUAGUACGCGCACGAAGGUUCUAUGAGCGUAAUGAUGGCGUUAUAUGCGCACUAUGAUAUGUUAACGGAAAAUGAAAUGUUGAGGAGGACUCAAAAGCAUAUGAGGACAUGGAUUAUUUGGAUAUUUGCUGCUAAAUUCUCUUGUUUGGACUUGCUGCUGUAGCUGUUUUAUUUGAUGGAUGACUGUAUUAUUUUGAGAAGUUUGGAUUGACUGUUGAACUAUGAUUUUAUUACUGCUUUAAGACUUUUAGGAUCAGCAAGUACUUGGAAAUAAAUUUUAGAAACAUUUUGCGAAAAUAAAUUUUGACGUAU